RNAcentral lists this ribosomal RNA (1436 nucleotides) under uncultured organism. RNAcentral describes it as "16S ribosomal RNA". It matches the Rfam family "Bacterial small subunit ribosomal RNA". The record is from RNAcentral.
CAGGCUUAACACAUGCAAGUCGAGGGGCAGCAUGGUCUUAGCUUGCUAAGGCCGAUGGCGACCGGCGCACGGGUGAGUAACACGUAUCCAACCUGCCGUCUACUCUUGGACAGCCUUCUGAAAGGAAGAUUAAUACAAGAUGGCAUCAUGAGUCCACAUGUUCACAUGAUUAAAGGUAUUCCGGUAGACGAUGGGGAUGCGUUCCAUUAGAUAGUAGGCGGGGUAACGGCCCACCUAGUCUUCGAUGGAUAGGGGUUCUGAGAGGAAGGUCCCCCACAUUGGAACUGAGACACGGUCCAAACUCCUACGGGAGGCAGCAGUGAGGAAUAUUGGUCAAUGGGCGAGAGCCUGAACCAGCCAAGUAGCGUGAAGGAUGACUGCCCUAUGGGUUGUAAACUUCUUUUAUAAAGGAAUAAAGUCGGGUAUGCAUACCCGUUUGCAUGUACUUUAUGAAUAAGGAUCGGCUAACUCCGUGCCAGCAGCCGCGGUAAUACGGAGGAUCCGAGCGUUAUCCGGAUUUAUUGGGUUUAAAGGGAGCGUAGAUGGAUGUUUAAGUCAGUUGUGAAAGUUUGCGGCUCAACCGUAAAAUUGCAGUUGAUACUGGAUAUCUUGAGUGCAGUUGAGGCAGGCGGAAUUCGUGGUGUAGCGGUGAAAUGCUUAGAUAUCACGAAGAACUCCGAUUGCGAAGGCAGCCUGCUAAGCUGCAACUGACAUUGAGGCUCGAAAGUGUGGGUAUCAAACAGGAUUAGAUACCCUGGUAGUCCACACGGUAAACGAUGAAUACUCGCUGUUUGCGAUAUACUGCAAGCGGCCAAGCGAAAGCGUUAAGUAUUCCACCUGGGGAGUACGCCGGCAACGGUGAAACUCAAAGGAAUUGACGGGGGCCCGCACAAGCGGAGGAACAUGUGGUUUAAUUCGAUGAUACGCGAGGAACCUUACCCGGGCUUAAAUUGCAGAUGAAUUACGGUGAAAGCCGUAAGCCGCAAGGCAUCUGUGAAGGUGCUGCAUGGUUGUCGUCAGCUCGUGCCGUGAGGUGUCGGCUUAAGUGCCAUAACGAGCGCAACCCUUGUUGUCAGUUACUAACAGGUUCUGCUGAGGACUCUGACAAGACUGCCAUCGUAAGAUGUGAGGAAGGUGGGGAUGACGUCAAAUCAGCACGGCCCUUACGUCCGGGGCUACACACGUGUUACAAUGGGGGGUACAGAGGGCCGCUACCACGCGAGUGGAUGCCAAUCCCAAAAACCUCUCUCAGUUCGGACUGGAGUCUGCAACCCGACUCCACGAAGCUGGAUUCGCUAGUAAUCGCGCAUCAGCCACGGCGCGGUGAAUACGUUCCCGGGCCUUGUACACACCGCCCGUCAAGCCAUGGGAGCCGGGGGUACCUGAAGUGCGUAACCGCGAGGAGCGCCCUAGGGUAAAACUGGUGACUGGGGCUA